GCAAGUCGCACGAGAACUCUUCUGCUUGCAGAAGAUAGUAAAGUGGCGCACGGGUGAGUAACGCGUGGGUAAUCUACCCUCAAAUUCGGGAUAACUUCGCGAAAGCGGGGCUAAUACCGGAUAACAUUCUUUGUCCUUCGGUACAUUGGAUCAAAGGUGGCCUCUACAUGUAAGCUACUGUUUGGGGAUGAGCCCGCGUACCAUUAGCUUGUUGGUGAGGUAAAAGCUCACCAAGGCCGCGAUGGUUAGCUGGUCUGAGAGGAUGAUC
This 268-nucleotide ribosomal RNA is filed under the name uncultured bacterium. RNAcentral's name for it is "partial 16S ribosomal RNA". It matches the Rfam family "Bacterial small subunit ribosomal RNA", at positions 57 to 305 of the family's 1533-position model. The record is from RNAcentral.